GACAGAGGGGGCUAGCGUUGUUCGGAAUCACUGGGCGUAAAGGGCGCGUAGGCGGCCGUGUAAGUCAGAGGUGAAAGCCUGGAGCUCAACUCCAGAAUUGCCUUUGAUACUGCUCGGCUAGAGUUCGAAAGAGGGUGGUGGAAUUCCUAGUGUAGAGGUGAAAUUCGUAGAUAUUAGGAGGAACACCGAUGGCGAAGGCAGCCACCUGGUUCGAUACUGACGCUGAGGCGCGAAAGCGUGGGGAGCAAAC
Molecule: ribosomal RNA, 250 nt
Filed under: uncultured bacterium
Lineage: Bacteria
Description: partial 16S ribosomal RNA
Rfam family: Bacterial small subunit ribosomal RNA
Source: RNAcentral